RNAcentral lists this ribosomal RNA (407 nucleotides) under bacterium enrichment culture clone ALO1_GLFRUDD03GW6SU. RNAcentral's name for it is "bacterial SSU rRNA". It matches the Rfam family "Bacterial small subunit ribosomal RNA", at positions 9 to 416 of the family's 1533-position model. The record is from RNAcentral.
GAGUUUGAUCUUGGCUCAGAUUGAACGCUGGCGGCAUGCCUUACACAUGCAAGUCGAACGGCAGCACGGGAGCUUGCUCCUGGUGGCGAGUGGCGAACGGGUGAGUAAUGCAUCGGAACGUAUCCUGGAGUGGGGGAUAACGUAGCGAAAGUUACGCUAAUACCGCAUAUUCUGUGAGCAGGAAAGCGGGGGACCUUCGGGCCUCGCGCUCUUGGAGCGGCCGAUGUCGGAUUAGCUAGUUGGUGAGGUAAAGGCUCACCAAGGCGACGAUCCGUAGCAGGUCUGAGAGGAUGAUCUGCCACACUGGAACUGAGACACGGUCCAGACUCCUACGGUAGGCAGCAGUGGGGAAUUUUGGACAAUGGGGGCAACCCUGAUCCAGCCAUGCCGCGUGAGUGAAGAAGGCC